Molecule: ribosomal RNA, 830 nt
Filed under: Escherichia coli
Lineage: Bacteria; Pseudomonadati; Pseudomonadota; Gammaproteobacteria; Enterobacterales; Enterobacteriaceae
Description: partial 23S ribosomal RNA
Rfam family: Bacterial large subunit ribosomal RNA
Source: RNAcentral
GGAAAGGCGCGCGAUACAGGGUGACAGCCCCGUACACAAAAAUGCACAUGCUGUGAGCUCGAUGAGUAGGGCGGGACACGUGGUAUCCUGUCUGAAUAUGGGGGGACCAUCCUCCAAGGCUAAAUACUCCUGACUGACCGAUAGUGAACCAGUACCGUGAGGGAAAGGCGAAAAGAACCCCGGCGAGGGGAGUGAAAAAGAACCUGAAACCGUGUACGUACAAGCAGUGGGAGCACGCUUCGGCGUGUGACUGCGUACCUUUUGUAUAAUGGGUCAGCGACUUAUAUUCUGUAGCAAGGUUAACCGAAUAGGGGAGCCGAAGGGAAACCGAGUCUUAACUGGGCGUUAAGUUGCAGGGUAUAGACCCGAAACCCGGUGAUCUAGCCAUGGGCAGGUUGAAGGUUGGGUAACACUAACUGGAGGACCGAACCGACUAAUGUUGAAAAAUUAGCGGAUGACUUGUGGCUGGGGGUGAAAGGCCAAUCAAACCGGGAGAUAGCUGGUUCUCCCCGAAAGCUAUUUAGGUAGCGCCUCGUGAAUUCAUCUCCGGGGGUAGAGCACUGUUUCGGCAAGGGGGUCAUCCCGACUUACCAACCCGAUGCAAACUGCGAAUACCGGAGAAUGUUAUCACGGGAGACACACGGCGGGUGCUAACGUCCGUCGUGAAGAGGGAAACAACCCAGACCGCCAGCUAAGGUCCCAAAGUCAUGGUUAAGUGGGAAACGAUGUGGGAAGGCCCAGACAGCCAGGAUGUUGGCUUAGAAGCAGCCAUCAUUUAAAGAAAGCGUAAUAGCUCACUGGUCGAGUCGGCCUGCGCGGAAGAUGUAACG